Molecule: ribosomal RNA, 478 nt
Filed under: Gemella morbillorum
Lineage: Bacteria; Bacillati; Bacillota; Bacilli; Caryophanales; Gemellaceae
Description: bacterial SSU rRNA
Rfam family: Bacterial small subunit ribosomal RNA
Source: RNAcentral
GACGAACGCUGGCGGCGUGCCUAAUACAUGCAAGUCGAGCGAAGUUUUUCUGGUGCUUGCACUAGAAAAACUUAGCGGCGAACGGGUGAGUAACACGUAAAGAACCUGCCUCAUAGACUGGGACAACUAUUGGAAACGAUAGCUAAUACCGGAUAACAGUAUUUCUCGCAUGAGAGAUAUUUAAAAGUUGGUUAUGCUAACACUAUGAGAUGGCUUUGCGGUGCAUUAGCUAGUUGGUGGGGUAAAGGCCUACCAAGGCGACGAUGCAUAGCCGACCUGAGAGGGUGAUCGGCCACACUGGGACUGAGACACGGCCCAGACUCCUACGGGAGGCAGCAGUAGGGAAUCUUCCGCAAUGGGCGAAAGCCUGACGGAGCAACGCCGCGUGAGUGAAGAAGGAUUUCGGUUCGUAAAGCUCUGUUGUUAGGGAAGAAUGGAUAUGUAGUAACUAUACAUAUAAGAGACGGUACCUAACCAG